AGAGUUUGAUCAUGGCUCAGAACGAACGCUGGCGGCAUGCCUAACACAUGCAAGUCGAACGUGAUCCGGGGCUUGCUCCGGUGAAAGUGGCGGACGGGUGAGUAACGCGUGGGAACCUGCCCAGUGGUCGGGGAUAACUGCGGGAAACUGCAGCUAAUACCCGGUAAGCCCUACGGGGGAAAGAUUUAUCGCCAUUGGAGGGGCCCGCGUCGGAUUAGGUAGUUGGUGGGGUAAAGGCCUACCAAGCCUUCGAUCCGUAGCUGGUCUGAGAGGAUGAUCAGCCACACUGGGACUGAGAUACGGCCCAGACUCCUACGGGAGGCAGCAGUGGGGAAUAUUGGACAAUGGGCGCAAGCCUGAUCCAGCAAUGCCGCGUGAGUGAAGAAGGCCUUAGGGUUGUAAAGCUCUUUCGGCGGGGACGAUGAUGACGGUACCCGCAGAAGAAGCCCCGGCUAACUCCGUGCCAGCAGCCGCGGUAAUACGGAGGGGGCUAGCGUUGUUCGGAAUUACUGGGCGUAAAGGGCGCGUAGGCGGCGCGAUAAGUUGGGCGUGAAAGGCCCGGGCUCAACCCGGGGACUGCGCUUGAUACUGUCGCGCUGUGAGUCCGGGAGAGGAUGGCGGAAUUCCCAGUGUAGAGGUGAAAUUCGUAGAUAUUGGGAAGAACACCGGGCGAAGGCGGCCAUCUGGACCGGCACUGACGCUGAGGCGCGAAAGCGUGGGGAGCAAACAGGAUUAGAUACCCUAGUAGUCC
Molecule: ribosomal RNA, 751 nt
Filed under: uncultured bacterium
Lineage: Bacteria
Description: bacterial SSU rRNA
Rfam family: Bacterial small subunit ribosomal RNA
Source: RNAcentral